UCAUAUUUUAGCGUGUUUUCUUUGCUAAUAAUUGUUUCUUGUUUCGCAGGGAAAAUGAAGCUGACCUGCGAUUGACGGAAGGUCACUAUGUCUCAUCUGAAACAAUACCGGACGUAAACUUGGGAAGUGAUAAUCCUUCCUCUCAAGGACACACAGAACAAAGUAGCGUAAACAAACCAGCAGAGAGCAUGUAACUUCUCUUUUAAAUAACCAUUACUUUUGUUCUUUUAUUACCUUCUACUUCUAAUUCUAUAUAUAUUUAGAAAAAAGCCCUUUAUUGUUUUAUUC
Molecule: non-coding RNA, 288 nt
Organism: Arachis ipaensis
Lineage: Eukaryota; Viridiplantae; Streptophyta; Magnoliopsida; Fabales; Fabaceae
Source: RefSeq, a predicted model, not a curated record